AUUUCAAGGUUGUAAUAACUCUUGUAAGACCUCAGUGAUAUUUGUCAAGAGUUAUUGCCCCCUGUGAUUUUGAGAUAUACAUGUAUAUACAAUACAGUUAGAAUUUGAAUAAAUAUAAUAUCCUUACCUGAAUAUCAAGAAAAGGUUAGGGUCUGCUGUAUCCCUGUAAAACAUAGAGGAUAUUGAAUGAGUGAAUGUUUAAUACGAUAUUUAUUGAACGAGUUAAAGGGACUCCACUGAGGUUUUUUGACAUGACGGGACUGAAAAUAUUUUUUCCAGAUAAAUGUUCCAUUUGAUGAAGGUUUAGACCACUAAUCUUUGCGCAAAAUUUCAGAUCAUUCGCGCACUUUGUUUUUCCACAAUAAUUAUUCAAAUGGUAAAAAAAUGACCCAAAAUGAGAAGCGUUUAAACGCUUUUCGCUCAAAUCGGGCUAAGAGAAGCAUAAAAAUACGAUUUUCAAUUUAUUUCAAAGUAUAUUCCUUAACUAUCUUUGCAUAUAUUUUUGUUUAAAGUGGCCCAGCUCAUUUAUGUAAGAAAUUCAAAUGUUAGGUUUUUAGGCUUUUAAACCUCAGUGGAGUCCCUUUAAAUAAAAUCAUAUUAUGCGAGCGUUUUGCGAGCAUAGUAUUGUUUUAUUCAAAAAGGCUCGCAUAAUGUUGUUUUAUUCAUUAAGUUCAAUAAAUUUAGUAUUGAAUCUACAUGAAUAUAAUAUUAUUUUUAUCACAUAUCUAAAAUGAGAACAGUAAACUGUUAAAGAGUCAUUUUUAGCUCAACUUUUUUUGAAAAAAAAGUAGAGGUAUUGUUAUAGUCCUGGCAGCGUUGCUGUGGCCGUACCCGUUGCCGUCCGCAAACUUGUACCUGGAUCAUUACUUUUUUAGUUCUUGGUGUAUUGUCUUCAUACUUGGCCACAACAACCCUUGGGGCAAGACCUUUCAGUAGACCACACUAACCUUGACCUUCAUCCAUAAAUGACUUUGACCUUCAAGGUCAAAAGUUCAAAUUUUGCUUGUUCUAGCUAUUAUUGGCUGUAACUUUUGUUAUUUUUGAAUGGAUUGUCUUCAAACUUGAACAUAAUAAUCUUCAAGGAUAUCUCUUAAAAAUAACCAGACAGACCUUGACCUUCACUCAUAAAUGACUAUGACUUUCAAGGUCAAAUCAUUGAAAUUCUCAUUUUUUAGCUUUUUUUUUUUUUUUUUUUUUUUUUUGAAAAAAAAAGUAGAGGUAUUGUUAUAGUCGCGGCGCCGUUGCCGUCCGCAAACUUGUACCUGGAUCAUAACUUUUUUAUUUCUUGGUGUAUUGUCUUCAUACUUGGCCACAACAACCCUUGGGACAAGACCUUUCAGUAGACCACACUAACCUUGACCUUCAUCCAUAAAUGACCUUGACCUUCAAGGUUAAAUGUCCAAAUUUUGCUUGUUCAUGCUGUUAUUGGCUGUAACUUUGUUAUUUUUGAAUGGAUUGUCUUCAAACUUGAACAUAAUAAUGUUCAAGGAUAUCCCUUAAAAAAAACCAGACAGACCUUGACCUUCACUCAUAAAUGACUUUGACUUUGAAGGUCAAAUUAUUGAAAUUUUCAUUUUUUUUGGCUAUUAUUGGCUGUAACUUUGUUAUUUAUGAAUGGAUUGUCUUCAAACUUGAACAUAAUAAUCUUCAGGGAUAUCCCUUAAAAAUAACCAGACAGACCUUGACCUUCACUCAUAAAUGACCUUGACUUUGAAGGUCAAAUUAUUGAAAUAUUCAUUUUUUUGGCUAUUAUUGGUUGUUAUUUUUGAAUGGAUUGUCUUAAAACUUGAACAUAAUAAUCUUCAAGGAUAACUCUUAAAAAUAACCUGACAGACCUUGACCUUCACUCAUUAAUGACGUUGUCUUUGAAAUAAUUGAAAUAUUAUUGAAAUUUCAUUUUUUUGGCUAUUAUUGGUUGUUAUUUUUGAAUGGAUUGUCUUAAAACUUGAACAUAAUAAUCUUCAAGGAUAACUCUUAAAAAUAACCUGACAGACCUUGACCUUCACUCAUUAAUGACAUUGUCUUUGAAGGUCAAAUUAUUGAAAUUUUCAUUGUUAUGGCUGUAACUGACUGUAACUUUGCUAUUAUUGAAGGGAUCAACUUCAUAUUAUAACAGAACAUUCUUAAGGACCAGACCUUGUUGUUUAUCAAACCCAAAUUUGCUUGGGUUCUUUAAUGACCUUGACCUUGAAGGUUAAAUUACUGAAUUUUCUCAGAUUUGUGCAUUAAAUGACCAUAAUUAUAUAUUUAUUGGUGUGUGUGUGUGUGUAUAUAUAUAUAUAUAUAUAUAUAUAUACAAAAAAUGAAAACAAGUGCCGGAAAAAAGUCACAUAUAAAUAAAACAAAUAACACAGUCCAUGAGUUAACUUAUUUAAUUAUUUGCCAACCGGUUUCUCUUAUGAUCAUCAGGGCAAAUGUGACGUCGUCGCAUAGUAACGACGUUUUUGUGUACACAUGUGUACGCAUAAUCUAAAAAUAGUAACGUCAUAAUAUAGUAUUUAGUUUUGGAUUAAAAACAUCAAUAAAAUAGCGUUCUUUACAUAACCUAGCUGAAACGUUUUUACUGUGAAAUUUAUAAAAUGGGAAAAUACCAAAUUUCGGGUCUUUUUUAGAGCAUUUAUCUAAAUGUUCACUUAAAGUUGCACAUAUGAAUAUGAGGGCGUACGGUGCCAGCAGUUGAAUAUUGAAGUUAUUGUUCCAAGUACAGAACGUGACCAAUUUGCCAAGGCAGGAAUAGCAGCUAGUAUUGCAGUUCUCAUUGUCAUAGUGAUUG
Molecule: long non-coding RNA, 2773 nt
Organism: Ruditapes philippinarum (Manila clam)
Lineage: Eukaryota; Metazoa; Mollusca; Bivalvia; Venerida; Veneridae
Exons: 3
Source: RefSeq, a predicted model, not a curated record